AACGAACGCUGGCGGCAUGCCUAACACAUGCAAGUCGAACGAACCCUUCGGGGUUAGUGGCGCACGGGUGCGUAACGCGUGGGAAUCUGCCCUUUGCUUCGGAAUAACUCAGGGAAACUUGUGCUAAUACCGGAUGAUGUCUUCGGACCAAAGAUUUAUCGGCAAGGGAUGAGCCCGAGUAGGAUUAGGUAGUUGGUGGGGUAAAGGCCUACCAAGCCGACGAUCCUUAGCUGGUCUGAGAGGAUGAUCAGCCACACUGGGACUGAGACACGGCCCAGACUCCUACGGGAGGCAGCAGUGGGGAAUAUUGGACAAUGGGCGCAAGCCUGAUCCAGCAAUGCCGCGUGAGUGAUGAAGGCCCUCGGGUCGUAAAGCUCUUUUACCAGGGAUGAUAAUGACAGUACCUGGAGAAUAAGCUCCGGCUAACUCCGUG
Molecule: ribosomal RNA, 433 nt
Filed under: uncultured bacterium
Lineage: Bacteria
Description: partial 16S ribosomal RNA
Rfam family: Bacterial small subunit ribosomal RNA
Source: RNAcentral